This 495-nucleotide ribosomal RNA is filed under the name uncultured bacterium. Its description in RNAcentral is "partial 16S ribosomal RNA". It matches the Rfam family "Bacterial small subunit ribosomal RNA", at positions 28 to 507 of the family's 1533-position model. The record is from RNAcentral.
GACGAACGCUGGCGGCGUGCCUAAUACAUGCAAGUAGAACGCUGAAGGAGGAGCUUGCUUCUCUGGAUGAGUUGCGAACGGGUGAGUAACGCGUAGGUAACCUGCCUGGUAGCGGGGGAUAACUAUUGGAAACGAUAGCUAAUACCGCAUAAUAGUAGAUGUCGCAUGACAUUUGCUUAAAAGGUGCAAUUGCAUCACUACUAGAUGGACCUGCGUUGUAUUAGCUAGUUGGUGAGGUAACGGCUCACCAAGGCAACGAUACAUAGCCGACCUGAGAGGGUGAUCGGCCACACUGGGACUGAGACACGGCCCAGACUCCUACGGGAGGCAGCAGUAGGGAAUCUUCGGCAAUGGACGGAAGUCUGACCGAGCAACGCCGCGUGAGUGAAGAAGGUUUUCGGAUCGUAAAGCUCUGUUGUAAGAGAAGAACGAGUGUGAGAGUGGAAAGUUCACACUGUGACGGUAUCUUACCAGAAAGGGACGGCUAACUACGUG